Molecule: ribosomal RNA, 669 nt
Filed under: uncultured bacterium
Lineage: Bacteria
Description: bacterial SSU rRNA
Rfam family: Bacterial small subunit ribosomal RNA
Source: RNAcentral
UCGGGCGAGUCGCCUUGAAAUCGGAGUGCUUGNNNUCUGUGNAACAAGAUACAGGCUAGCGGCGGACGGGUGAGUAACACGUGGGUAACCUGCCCAAGAGAUCGGGAUAACACCUGGAAACAGAUGCUAAUACCGGAUAACAACAGAUGAUGCCUAUCAACUGUUUAAAAGAAGGUUCUGCUAUCACUCUUGGAUGGACCUGCGGUGCAUUAGCUAGUUGGUAGGGUAACGGCCUACUAAGGCGAUGAUGCAUAGCCGAGUUGAGAGACUGAUCGGCCACAUUGGGACUGAGACACGGCCCAAACUCCUACGGGAGGCAGCAGUAGGGAAUCUUCCACAAUGGACGCAAGUCUGAUGGAGCAACGCCGCGUGAGUGAAGAAGGGUUUCGGCUCGUAAAGCUCUGUUGUUGGUGAAGAAGGACAGGGGUAGUAACUGACCUUUGUUUGACGGUAAUCAAUUAGAAAGUCACGGCUAACUACGUGCCAGCAGCCGCGGUAAUACGUAGGUGGCAAGCGUUGUCCGGAUUUAUUGGGCGUAAAGCGAGUGCAGGCGGCUCGAUAAGUCUGAUGUGAAAGCCUUCGGCUCAACCGGAGAAUUGCAUCAGAAACUGUCGAGCUUGAGUACAGAAGAGGAGAGUGGAACUCCAUGUGUAGCGGUGAAAUGCGUAG